Molecule: ribosomal RNA, 506 nt
Filed under: uncultured bacterium
Lineage: Bacteria
Description: partial 16S ribosomal RNA
Rfam family: Bacterial small subunit ribosomal RNA
Source: RNAcentral
AGUGAACGCUGGCGGUAGGCCUAACACAUGCAAGUCGAACGGCAGCACAGGAGAGCUUGCUCUCUGGGUGGCGAGUGGCGGACGGGUGAGGAAUACAUCGGAAUCUACUCUGUCGUGGGGGAUAACGUAGGGAAAUUUACGCUAAUACCGCAUACGACCUACGGGUGAAAGCAGGGGACCUUCGGGCCUUGCGCGAUUGAAUGAGCCGAUGUUGGAUUAGCUAGUUGGCGGGGUAAAGGCCCACCAAGGCGACGAUCCGUAGCUGGUCUGAGAGGAGGAUCAGCCACACUAGAACUGAGACACGGUCCAGACGCCUACGGGAGGCAGCAGUGGGGAAUAUUGGACAAUGGGCGCAAGCCUGAUCCAGCCAUACCGCGUGGGUGAAGAAGGCCUUCGGGUUGUAAAGCCCUUUUGUUGGGAAAGAAAUCCAGCUGGCUAAUACCCGGUUGGGAUGACGGUACCCAAAGAAUAAGCACCGGCUAACUUCGUGCCAGCCGCCGUAACAC